CAGUAGCCGCGGUAAUACGAAGGGUGCAAGCGUUACUCGGAAUUACUGGGCGUAAAGCGUGCGUAGGUGGUUGUUUAAGUCUGCUGUGAAAGCCCUGGGCUCAACCUGGGAAUUGCAGUGGAUACUGGGCGACUAGAGUAAGGUAGAGGAUAGUGGAAUUUCCGGUGUAGCAGUGAAAUGCGUAGAGAUCGGAAGGAACAUCUGUGGCGAAGGCGACUAUCUGGGCCAACACUGACACUGAGGCACGAAAGCGUGGGGAGCAAACAGGAUUAGAUACCCGUGUAGUCCCUGUCUCUUAUAC
This 301-nucleotide ribosomal RNA is filed under the name uncultured bacterium. Its description in RNAcentral is "partial 16S ribosomal RNA". It matches the Rfam family "Bacterial small subunit ribosomal RNA", at positions 509 to 807 of the family's 1533-position model. The record is from RNAcentral.